This 250-nucleotide unclassified non-coding RNA is filed under the name plant metagenome. RNAcentral describes it as "partial contains small subunit ribosomal RNA, internal transcribed spacer 1, and 5.8S ribosomal RNA". The stretch from base 194 to 250 matches the Rfam family "5.8S ribosomal RNA", at positions 1 to 54 of the family's 154-position model. The record is from RNAcentral.
GUAGGUGAACCUGCGGAAGGAUCAUUACCGAAGUACAGGCCCCUUCGGGGGCUAAACUUCCACCCUUUGUUUACCAUACCAUUGUUGCUUUGGCGGGCCGCCUAGCUACUGGCUUCGGCUGGUAAGUGCCCGCCAGAGAACCCCAAACCCAAACCAUUUAUAGUGUCGUCUGAAUAAAAAGUUUAAUAUUUAAAACUUUCAACAACGGAUCUCUUGGCUCUGGCAUCGAUGAAGAACGCAGCAUCUGACU